CUAUUUUAUUAAAAUGUAACAUAAAAUACAAACUUCUCUAAAAAUGGUGAAUCUGUCAAUGGGGGAUAGAUUUACUCAACACCAUGUGACCAUCAAACCACAACUGACAACUUGGCAUGGGAAAAUGUGUCUAUCAACCUCACAUCAAGGCAGACGAUAUGGGACCACAAGAACUCUAUGAUCUAUCAGCUCUUCUCAACACUCCAAAGGAUAAACAACUGACUAUGUUGUGAAGUCUGACACUAUUUUGGGGGUCAUGUUAUUGCAAGUUGGAUAUAUGGAUCUCCUUCAGCCUCCAACUUCUAAUAAAAGAUUCAGAAAUGGACAGCAAAUAAAUGACUAAAUUGCCUAAUGUGUUGAGGUUGAUUUGUAAUGUGUUCUUUGUAAUGUAUUGACAGUUGACUGUACGACUGGGUCUACAUUUUAGAACAGAUUGUUGUGCAUUGUAUGAUUGUUGUGUCAUUGUCUACUGUUUUUUUGUCACUCAAAUGGAACGAAAUGAAAAAAACUUGAUAUAAACCAUUGUUCACA
Engraulis encrasicolus (European anchovy) is the source of this 531-nucleotide long non-coding RNA. RefSeq lists it as uncharacterized. The record is from RefSeq and is a predicted model, not a curated record. The transcript has 2 exons. Lineage: Eukaryota; Metazoa; Chordata; Actinopteri; Clupeiformes; Engraulidae.